This 486-nucleotide ribosomal RNA is filed under the name uncultured bacterium. RNAcentral describes it as "partial 16S ribosomal RNA". It matches the Rfam family "Bacterial small subunit ribosomal RNA", at positions 28 to 507 of the family's 1533-position model. The record is from RNAcentral.
GAUGAACGCUGGCGGCGUGCCUAAUACAUGCAAGUCGAACGCUGGAAAUCUAGCUUGCUAGAUUGAAGGAGUGGCGAACGGGUGAGUAAUACAUAAGCAACCUACCCACGAAGACUGGGAUAAUCUCUGGAAACGGGGACUAAUACCGGAUAGGUAAUCGGAAGGCAUCUUCUGAUUAUUAAAGGUUAAAAACACUGGUGGAUGGGCUUAUGGCGCAUUAGUUAGUUGGUGAGGUAACGGCCCACCAAGACGAUGAUGCGUAGCCGGCCUGAGAGGGUGAACGGUCACAUUGGGACUCGGACCCGGCCCAGACGUCAACCGGCGGCAGGCGUAGGGAAUUUGUGGCAAUAGGGGAAACCCUGACCGAGCAACGCCGCGUGAGUGAUGACGGCCUUCGGGUUGUAAAGCUCUGUUGUAAGGGAAGAACGGUAGAUAGAGAAUAUCUAAAUGACGGUACCUUACCAGAAAGCCACGGCUAACUACGUG